RNAcentral lists this ribosomal RNA (458 nucleotides) under uncultured bacterium. RNAcentral's name for it is "partial 16S ribosomal RNA". It matches the Rfam family "Bacterial small subunit ribosomal RNA", at positions 338 to 795 of the family's 1533-position model. The record is from RNAcentral.
CCUACGGGUGGCAGCAGUGAGGAAUAUUGGUCAAUGGGCGAGAGCCUGAACCAGCCAAGUCGCGUGAGGGAGUACGGCCCUAUGGGUUGUAAACCUCUUUUGUCGGGGAGCAAAAGCCGGACGUGUCCGUCUGUUAGAGUACCCGAAGAAAAAGCAUCGGCUAACUCCGUGCCAGCAGCCGCGGUAAUUCGGAGGAUGCGAGCGUUUUCCGGAUUUAUUGGGGUUUAAGGGGUCGCAGGCUGAUUUUUAAGUCAGCGGUAAAAUCGUGGGGCUCAACCCCAUCCAGCCGUUGAAACUGGGGAUCUAGAGUGUGCGAGAGGUAUGCGGAAUGCGUGGUGUAGCGGUGAAAUGCAUAGAUAUCACGCAGAACCCCGAUUGCGAAGGCAGCAUACCGGUGCACAACUGACGCUCAGGCACGAAAGCGUGGGUAUCGAACAGGAUUAGAUACCCUUGUAGUC